CAGUUUGCUCAGACAAAUACCACUUCUGCCCCGACUUGCUGACUGGAUGAGUUAUCUCUCUGUCAUAUUUUUCUCCUCUGUAGAUGGAAAUCAGAGCAGCUACCUCACAGAGUGGCCAUGAAUACCGAAGUGAGGGCUCAUACUUGGUAAGUGUCUGUUAUUACUUUUAUUAUAGCGUGAAUGAUUGAAAGUUUUUUUCCCAGUGUCACUAUACAACCCUUUCCCACCCUGCUCCACUACAGUCCACAUAUUCCUAGCAGGAAGGGGAGGAAUUCUUUUCCUUUUCCCAUUUCAUGGGUCAGAAAACUGGGAUUGAGUGAAUAAAUGAGUGAAUGAAUGAACAAAUACCCAGCAUGCCCAGCCUGCUGCCUCCCACUCACCCCCUGGGGCUGUAGCCAGGCACUUGUCCUGUGAGCUGAGAGCCCUGGCCCCCAGAGCAGUGAUGCUGGUUUUCCGUUUCCAUCUUGCCAGCCCCAGAGGAUGGUCCAAGAGCUCAGGAGAAUUGCCUGUGUCCAGCACAGACUGGUGCAGAUCCCUUGGACCUACAGCCCCGAAGCUCACCCACUUCCAGAAUGGGGGCCCUGGUUCCUGUUCAGCCUCUGCUUUUCCUGUAAGGCCUUACAAGCCCCACUGCCCCUUCUGGAAGGCCUCAGGAGGCUCCAACAUCACACCUGAAGAAACCUGGGCAGAUCCUCUACCAGCAGCUGAACUCCUUUGGAUGACUGGGAAUGACUUUCCCCUAGAUUGACUGUGGCCCCGGCUGGCUUUCUGUUCUCCCAUUCACCACUUGAAAGAUACCAAUGGUCCUCUCUCAACCCUCACUCUCAACGUUAUGAUCAUGGCCAGGGCUCUUUGCUCUUUAAACACUAAUUCCUAGUCCUCUCUGAACUUGAGUAAAGUCUUCUGUGGUUAUUAGAGACUGAUUAAGAAAAGCACAGAACCAGCAGUGUCUCCUGAGAUCCACGCCAUGUUGGAACUUAGGACUCUGGGAAGCCAAGCAAGCACCUCCCCUCCCUGGUAAACAGUGGUGGUCUGGCUGACUGCAGCCCUUCCAGGGGGAGAACCAGCAGCAGCUCCUGAGAUUCCCCACCAUGUUGGAACUGAGGACGCUGUAAAAACAAAUGACCAUCCUGUCUCCCUGCUAAGCAAUAGUGAACCUACUGCUACAUGGCCUAGAGUCAAAUAUCCCACUUCCCCUAUCCCCCCUCCUCGCCCAUUAGCAAAUGGGAACCAGAAAUCUGAGCAUCUCUUGGGAGGUUGACCAUAGCAAAUAAGGGGGACUUCCUUCUACCAUUUCUUUGAAGGCAAAUAUUUUUAUUACUUUUUUGCUCUUUUCUGAUUAAUGGUACUGCUCUAUUCAAUAUUCUGUUUUGAUAAGUUCUAUAGUGUUCUAUAUUUCAUCUCAUUUUGAUAUAGGUGAUUGAAAGAACAACUAUUAUAAAUAUAACAAAAUAUACUGUGAUACCUAUUACUGUUAUCCUGGUAACCUGCUGUGAAGUUCUGUACCAAUUUCACUGUACGAUCUUAGUUGGCUUUAUUCUGACUUGUUCUGUUGUAUACUUUCAAAAUAAAAUUUAAAAAAAGAAAAGCACAGAAUAGAUUCUCAAGAGAAGUAACCUUUCUACUGCUUUGUCA
This 1635-nucleotide long non-coding RNA is filed under the name Cavia porcellus (domestic guinea pig). RNAcentral describes it as "lncRNA (ENSCPOG00000030615.1)". The record is from RNAcentral. Lineage: Eukaryota; Metazoa; Chordata; Mammalia; Rodentia; Caviidae.